UGGAAUCUCAAGGAAUUAGACAUAAAUCUCCAGGAGACUUCCAAGAGUCAUCUGAGAGAUAAAUGGUAGGGCAUUGUUUAAAAUAAAUAUUAAAUAUUGAAUCUGAUUUAUACAGUAGUUCAGUGGGCUUUUUUAAAUGUAAUAGUAAUGUGCA
Molecule: long non-coding RNA, 154 nt
Organism: Gavialis gangeticus (Gharial)
Lineage: Eukaryota; Metazoa; Chordata; Crocodylia; Gavialidae
Exons: 3
Source: RefSeq, a predicted model, not a curated record